This 419-nucleotide ribosomal RNA is filed under the name uncultured bacterium. RNAcentral describes it as "bacterial SSU rRNA". It matches the Rfam family "Bacterial small subunit ribosomal RNA", at positions 355 to 766 of the family's 1533-position model. The record is from RNAcentral.
UGGGGAAUUUUGGACAAUGGGCGCAAGCCUGAUCCAGCCAUGCCGCGUGAGUGAAGAAGGCCUUCGGGUUGUAAAGCUCUUUCGGACGGGAAGAAAUGGCGGUCUCUAACAUAGCCUGUCGAUGACGGUACCGUAAGAAGAAGCACCGGCUAACUACGUGCCAGCAGCCGCGGUAAUACGUAGGGUUCGAGCGUUAAUCGGAAUUACUGGGCGUAAAGCGUGCGCAGGCGGUUUUGUAAGACAGAUGUGAAAUCCCCGGGCUUAACCUGGGAACUGCGUUUGUGACUGCAAGGCUGGAGUACGGCAGAGGGGGGCGGAAUUCCACGUGUAGCAGUGAAAUGCGUAGAGAUGUGGAGGAACACCGAUGGCGAAGGCAGCCCCCUGGGCCUGUACUGACGCUCAUGCACGAAAGCGUGGGG